This 253-nucleotide ribosomal RNA is filed under the name uncultured bacterium. Its description in RNAcentral is "partial 16S ribosomal RNA". It matches the Rfam family "Bacterial small subunit ribosomal RNA", at positions 524 to 776 of the family's 1533-position model. The record is from RNAcentral.
UACGGAGGGUGCAAGCGUUGUUCGGAAUCACUGGGCGUAAAGGGCGUGUAGGCGGUCCGCUAAGUCUGAUGUGAAAGCCCGAGGCUUACCCUCGGAAGUGCAUUGGAGACUGGCGGACUGGAGUCCCGGAGAGGAGGGUGGAAUUCCUGGUGUAGCGGUGAAAUGCGCAGAUAUCAGGAGGAACACCGGUGGCGAAGGCGGGUCUCUGGGCAGUAACUGACGCUGAGGAGCGAAAGCGUGGGGAGCAAACAGG